This 497-nucleotide ribosomal RNA is filed under the name uncultured bacterium. RNAcentral describes it as "partial 16S ribosomal RNA". It matches the Rfam family "Bacterial small subunit ribosomal RNA", at positions 28 to 507 of the family's 1533-position model. The record is from RNAcentral.
GAUGAACGCUGGCGGCGUGCCUAAUACAUGCAAGUCGAGCGAACAGAUAAUGAGCUUUCUCCUUUGCCGUUAGCGGCGGACGGGUGAGUAACACGUGCGUAACCUUCCUCUUUUUCUUGAAUAACUCCGGGAAACCGCUGCUAAUGCUGGAUCAUAUGUUCAACCGCUUGGUUCUACAGUUAUUCGCGGCUUUGCUGUCUCUUUUAGCUGGUCCCAGGUCGUAUUAGCUAGUUGGUGAGGUACCGGCUCACCAAGGCAACGAUACGUAGCCGACCUGAGAGGGUGAUCAGCCACACUGGAACUGAGACACGGUCCAGACUCCUACGGGAGGCAGCAGUAGGGAAUAUUGGGCAAUGGGCGAAAGCCUGACGGAGCAAAGCCGCGUGAGUGAAGAAGGACUUCGGAUCGUAAAACUCUGUUAUUAGGGAAGAAAAAAAGCGGAAGAAACUGUGCGCGUCUUGACGGUACCUAAAGAGAAAGCAACGGCUAACUACGUG